RNAcentral lists this transfer RNA (76 nucleotides) under Alphaproteobacteria bacterium RIFCSPHIGHO2_02_FULL_40_34. RNAcentral describes it as "tRNA-Ala". It matches the Rfam family "tRNA". From Rfam's summary of the family: Transfer RNA (tRNA) molecules are approximately 80 nucleotides in length. Their secondary structure includes four short double-helical elements and three loops (D, anti-codon, and T loops). Further hydrogen bonds mediate the characteristic L-shaped molecular structure. tRNAs have two regions of fundamental functional importance: the anti-codon, which is responsible for specific mRNA codon recognition, and the 3' end, to which the tRNAs corresponding amino acid is attached (by aminoacyl-tRNA synthetases). tRNAs cope with the degeneracy of the genetic code in two manners: having more than one tRNA (with a specific anti-codon) for a particular amino acid; and 'wobble' base-pairing, i.e. permitting non-standard base-pairing at the 3rd anti-codon position. The record is from RNAcentral. RNAcentral also lists the same sequence under 3 other names. Lineage: Bacteria; Pseudomonadati; Pseudomonadota; Alphaproteobacteria.
GGGGCUAUAGCGCAGCUGGUAGCGCGCUUGCAUGGCAUGCAAGAGGUCACGAGUUCGACUCUCGUUAGCUCCACCA